GUGAGUGGCGGACGGGUGAGUAACACGUGGGUAACCUGCCCUAAAGUGGGGGAUAACAUUUGGAAACAGAUGCUAAUACCGCAUAAAACCUAACACCGCAUGGUGUAGGGUUGAAAGAUGGUUUCGGCUAUCACUUUAGGAUGGACCCGCGGUGCAUUAGUUAGUUGGUGAGGUAAAGGCUCACCAAGACCGUGAUGCAUAGCCGACCUGAGAGGGUAAUCGGCCACACUGGGACUGAGACACGGCCCAGACUCCUACGGGAGGCAGCAGUAGGGAAUCUUCCACAAUGGACGAAAGUCUGAUGGAGCAACGCCGCGUGAGUGAAGAAGGUUUUCGGAUCGUAAAACUCUGUUGUUGGAGAAGAAUGUAUCUGAUAGUAACUGAUCAGGUAGUGACGGUAUCCAACCAGAAAGCCACGG
RNAcentral lists this ribosomal RNA (419 nucleotides) under Latilactobacillus sakei. RNAcentral describes it as "bacterial SSU rRNA". It matches the Rfam family "Bacterial small subunit ribosomal RNA", at positions 91 to 496 of the family's 1533-position model. Lineage: Bacteria; Bacillati; Bacillota; Bacilli; Lactobacillales; Lactobacillaceae. The record is from RNAcentral.